RNAcentral lists this ribosomal RNA (335 nucleotides) under Salmonella enterica subsp. enterica serovar Panama. Its description in RNAcentral is "bacterial SSU rRNA". It matches the Rfam family "Bacterial small subunit ribosomal RNA", at positions 843 to 1178 of the family's 1533-position model. The record is from RNAcentral. Lineage: Bacteria; Pseudomonadati; Pseudomonadota; Gammaproteobacteria; Enterobacterales; Enterobacteriaceae.
CUUCCGGAGCUAACGCGUUAAGUAGACCGCCUGGGGAGUACGGCCGCAAGGUUAAAACUCAAAUGAAUUGACGGGGGCCCGCACAAGCGGUGGAGCAUGUGGUUUAAUUCGAUGCAACGCGAAGAACCUUACCUGGUCUUGACAUCCACAGAACUUUCCAGAGAUGGAUUGGUGCCUUCGGGAACUGUGAGACAGGUGCUGCAUGGCUGUCGUCAGCUCGUGUUGUGAAAUGUUGGGUUAAGUCCCGCAACGAGCGCAACCCUUAUCCUUUGUUGCCAGCGGUCCGGCCGGGAACUCAAAGGAGACUGCCAGUGAUAAACUGGAGGAAGGUGGGG